This is a long non-coding RNA of Mustela erminea (ermine), 123 nucleotides long. RefSeq lists it as uncharacterized. NCBI's taxonomy places the organism in Eukaryota, Metazoa, Chordata, Mammalia, Carnivora, Mustelidae. The record is from RefSeq and is a predicted model, not a curated record. The transcript is spliced from 4 exons.
CCCAUAACCACCAACUCUCAGUUUGAGUCUGUUUUAUGGGUUGCCUCUAUUUUUUCCCCCUUUGUCCAUCGUUUUGAUUCUUAAAUUCCACAUAUGAGUGAAAUCAUAUGGUAUUUGUUUUUC